AAUCAACGCUGGCGGCGUGCCUAACACAUGCAAGUCGAACGAUUAAAGCCCUUUCGGGGGUGGUAUAGAGUGGCGUACGGGUGAGUAACACGUGGGUAAUCUACCUUUGGGUGGGGGAAGUAACUCAGGGAAACUUGAGCUAAUACCGCAUAAUGCAGCGGCUCGACAUCGAGACAGUUGUUAAAGAUUUAUCGCCUGAAGAGGAGCCUGCGCCUGAUUAGCUAGUUGGUGGGGAAUGGCUUACCAAGGCUACGAUCAGUAGCUGGUCUGAGAGGACGGCCAGCCACAAUGGCACUGAAACACGGGCCAUACUCCUACGGGAGGCAGCAGUGGGGUAAUUUUGCGCAAUGGGCGAAAAGCCUGACGCAGCAACGCCGCGUGAAGG
Molecule: ribosomal RNA, 385 nt
Filed under: uncultured bacterium
Lineage: Bacteria
Description: bacterial SSU rRNA
Rfam family: Bacterial small subunit ribosomal RNA
Source: RNAcentral